This 67-nucleotide transfer RNA is filed under the name Amanses scopas (broom filefish). RNAcentral's name for it is "tRNA-Cys". It matches the Rfam family "tRNA". Rfam says of the family: Transfer RNA (tRNA) molecules are approximately 80 nucleotides in length. Their secondary structure includes four short double-helical elements and three loops (D, anti-codon, and T loops). Further hydrogen bonds mediate the characteristic L-shaped molecular structure. tRNAs have two regions of fundamental functional importance: the anti-codon, which is responsible for specific mRNA codon recognition, and the 3' end, to which the tRNAs corresponding amino acid is attached (by aminoacyl-tRNA synthetases). tRNAs cope with the degeneracy of the genetic code in two manners: having more than one tRNA (with a specific anti-codon) for a particular amino acid; and 'wobble' base-pairing, i.e. permitting non-standard base-pairing at the 3rd anti-codon position. Lineage: Eukaryota; Metazoa; Chordata; Actinopteri; Tetraodontiformes; Monacanthidae. The record is from RNAcentral.
AGCUCUGAGGUGUUUUACAUAUUAGAUUGCAAAUCUAAAGAAGCAGGCUAAUACCCUGCCGGGGCUU